GGGGGGUUUUGCUUUUCCCCUUUUUUUAUUUUCUUUUCUUUUCCAAAUUUGUUUUCCAAGGCUUUCUCAAAAUAGUUUGAGUUCUUUUAAUUCUCCAACAAAUCACACAGCACAAAAAUAAUUAUUCUCCAGCAUGAAUGCACAAUCAAGUUUACGAAACUUAUGAUGAAUUUUAAUUCCAACAAAAUUUAUUUGAUUACUACAUUUAAAUGCUCACAAAAAUGCUUAAAUAAAUCCAAUUAAUUCCUAUAAUCGAAAUAAAAAUUUUGGGUGUUACAGGAACUGUCAAAUACAGCCACACUCUAUUUUCUGUAGACCAUUUUCAGGUACACAAAAGUUGUGGACGGCAAUUCUUGAUGAGACUAUGCCAAGGCCAUCAACACUCACUAUAUAUUAGUCCCAAGCCUCCAUUCAAGGUGCAAGUUAAACUUUAUUCCAAAUCCUUUUGGUUUCCACCUACAAGGCUCAUACUUAGUUCAUGUGAUUGUAGAUUGAAACACCUUGCUAUUAUGGAAGAAAAAGAUCGUGAUGUUAUCGCAAAACUACAAGUCAAUGGCCUAGCACAAUUCUUUAGAUCGGAAGAGUUAGAGUCAA
RNAcentral lists this long non-coding RNA (594 nucleotides) under Sorghum bicolor (sorghum). RNAcentral describes it as "long non-coding RNA (SBIC_LNC009601)". Lineage: Eukaryota; Viridiplantae; Streptophyta; Magnoliopsida; Poales; Poaceae. The record is from RNAcentral.